RNAcentral lists this ribosomal RNA (561 nucleotides) under uncultured bacterium. Its description in RNAcentral is "bacterial SSU rRNA". It matches the Rfam family "Bacterial small subunit ribosomal RNA", at positions 338 to 916 of the family's 1533-position model. The record is from RNAcentral.
CCUACGGGAGGCAGCAGUAGGGAGUAUUGCUCAAUGGGCGAAAGCCUGAAGCAGCAACGCCGCGUGUGCGAUGAAGGCCUUCGGGUCGUAAAGCACUUUUCUGAGAGAUGAGAAAGGACAGUAUCUCAGGAAUAAGUCUCGGCUAACUACGUGCCAGCAGCCGCGGUAAAACGUAGGAGGCGAGCGUUAUCCGGAUUCACUGGGCGUAAAGCGCGUGCAGGCGGUUCGGUAAGUUGGGCGUGAAAUCUCCUGGCUUAACUAGGAGAGGUCGUUCAAUACUACCGGGCUUGAGAGUGGUAGAGGAAGAUGGAAUUCCAGGUGUAGUGGUGAAAUGCGUAGAUAUCUGGAGGAACACCAGUGGCGAAAGCGAUCUUCUGGACCAUUUCUGACGCUCAGACGCGAAAGCUAGGGUAGUAAACGGGAUUAGAGACCCCGGUAAUCCUAGCCGUAAACGAUGUAAACUUGGCGUCGGUGGCUUAAACUCCAUCGGUGCCGUAGCUAACGCGAUAAGUUACCGCCUGGGACUACGAUCGCAAGAUUAAACCUCAAAUGAAUUGACGG